GACGAACGCUGGCGGCGUGCUUAAAAACAUGCAAGUCGAACGGACUUCUCAUGAAGCUUGCGAUUGAGAAGUUAGUGGCGGACGGGUGAGUAACGCGUGGGCAACCUGCCCCUGAGCCCGGGAUAACAGUUCGAAAAGGACUGCUAAGACCGGAUAUACUUGCGGUGAAGCAUUUCACUGCAAGGAAAGGGAACGCUCAGGGAUGGGCCCGCGUCCCAUUAGCUAGUUGGUGAGGUAACGGCCCACCAAGGCGACGAUGGGUAGCCGGUCUGAGAGGGUGAACGGCCACACUGGGACUGAGACACGGCCCAGACUCCUACGGGAGGCAGCAGUUGGGAAUCUUCGGCAAUGGGCGCAAGCCUGACCGAGCAACGCCGCGUGAGUGAUGAAGGUUUUCGGAUUGUAAAGCUCUGUCUUCCGGGACGAUAAUGACGGUACCGGAGGAGGAAGCCACGGCUAACUACGUG
Molecule: ribosomal RNA, 467 nt
Filed under: uncultured bacterium
Lineage: Bacteria
Description: bacterial SSU rRNA
Rfam family: Bacterial small subunit ribosomal RNA
Source: RNAcentral